UGUACCUACUUCAUUUACGCAACGUGUUAAGUGGAUUAUUGUUCAAAAUACUCGCUAAUCGCUCCCCGCUGACAGACGCCGGCGCAAAACAUAACCGUUUAUUAUUUUGUUUCAUUUAUUUUGCAAACCAUAUCGUGGGUGUUGAUUUAUUUUAAUAUCCGCCAGUCGUAGAAGUUUAGAGGUGCUAGUGAUGGGGAGUUUUAGCCUCGGCAGGAGUGACACUGGGAUUUGCUGGGGUUUCAUCCGUCAGCUUAGCUCGACUCUCCACACACAAGAAGAUGAGGAGGACGACAGCCAAGCGCACCCCUUGCCUUACCGACGCCAUCUUUUAAAACUUUAAAAGCGCGGGAAAGCUGUCGAUGCGUAAUGGCGGCUUCCAGGCUACUGGAGACGGCGAGUCGUCGGCGUUAUUUUUAGAUUUUAUUUUGAUUUUAUCGAACACGCAGCAUUAGCGGAUACAAGUGUG
This is a long non-coding RNA of Pectinophora gossypiella (pink bollworm), 466 nucleotides long. RefSeq lists it as uncharacterized. NCBI's taxonomy places the organism in Eukaryota, Metazoa, Arthropoda, Insecta, Lepidoptera, Gelechiidae. The record is from RefSeq and is a predicted model, not a curated record. The transcript is spliced from 3 exons.